RNAcentral lists this long non-coding RNA (526 nucleotides) under Equus caballus (horse). RNAcentral's name for it is "lncRNA (ENSECAG00000057791.1)". Lineage: Eukaryota; Metazoa; Chordata; Mammalia; Perissodactyla; Equidae. The record is from RNAcentral.
GUGAAACAGUAAUCCCAUGCUUGUUGCCUUCCCUUAGGAGAAGAGAGAACUGCAGGUCACUGGGAAUUUCAUUGCUUCAGCCCAGAAGUGAAGCGUCACUGUCACUCACUGCCACAAGUGCUGGAACGUGCAGACCUCCCUGAGCCUCAGAAGGAGUGGAGGACUGCAUAUCAGAUCACACCAUGCUCAUUCAUACACAAAGAAGUCUGGGAGCAGAGCAGCCACCCACUCUCUCCAUGUCAGCCAGCGGUCCAAUGGACAAGGUCAUGUUCUGCGACUGGUUUAUCACUUCCUGCCAGUGGCCACUGCAUGAGAUACCUGGACAACUUAUCUACAUGAGAAACAAUGUCUAUGGAGAUGAAAAAUAAGUGUCUGGUGGAGUCUUCAGGGUUUUCUACAUAUAAAAUCAUAUCAUCUGCAAAUAGUGGCAGCAUUAUUUCUUACUUUCUAAUUUGAGUAUCUUUUAUUUCUCUUUCUUGCCUAAUUGCUCUGGCUAAAAAUCUGCACAAAAAAGGAAAUCAUCAAC